AGAGGUGGCAGGUAGCCUAGUGGUUAGAGUGUAGAGGUGGCAGGUAGCCUAGUGGUUAGAGUGUAGAGGAGGCAGGUAGCCUAGUGGUUAGAGUGUAGAGGUGGCAGGUAGCCUAGUGGUUAGAGUGUAGAGGUGGCAGGUAACCUAGUGGUUAGAGUGUAGAGGUGGCAGGUAACCUAGUGGUUAGAGUGUAGAGGUGGCAGGUAACCUAGUGGUUAGAGUGUAGAGGUGGCAGGUAACCUAGUGGUUAGAGUGUAGAGGUGGCAGGUAACCUAGUGGUUAGAGUGUAGAGGUGGCAGGUAACCUAGUGGUUAGAGCAUUGGGCCAGUAAUCGAACGGUUGUUAGAUCGAAUCCCCAAGCUGACA
Molecule: long non-coding RNA, 366 nt
Organism: Oncorhynchus tshawytscha (Chinook salmon)
Lineage: Eukaryota; Metazoa; Chordata; Actinopteri; Salmoniformes; Salmonidae
Source: Ensembl